AUUGAACGCUGGCGGCAGGCUUAACACAUGCAAGUCGAGCGGGGUGAUGGUGCUUGCACUAUCACUUAGCGGCGGACGGGUGAGUAAUGCUUAGGAAUCUGCCUAUUAGUGGGGGACAACAUCUCGAAAGGGAUGCUAAUACCGCAUACGUCCUACGGGAGAAAGCAGGGGAUCACUUGUGACCUUGCGCUAAUAGAUGAGCCUAAGUCGGAUUAGCUAGUUGGUGGGGUAAAGGCCUACCAAGGCGACGAUCUGUAGCGGGUCUGAGAGGAUGAUCCGCCAAAAUGGGACUGAGACACGGACGAGACGCCUACGGGAGGCAGCAGUGGGGAAUAUUGGACAAUGGGGGGAACCCUGAUCCAGCCAUGCCGCGUGUGUGAAGAAGGCCUUAUGGUUGUAAAGCACUUUAAGCGAGGAGGAGGCUCUUUUGGUUAAUACCCAAGAUGAGUGGACGUUACUCGCAGAAUAAGCACCGGCUAACUCUGUGCCAGCCGCCGCCGCAG
This 503-nucleotide ribosomal RNA is filed under the name uncultured bacterium. RNAcentral describes it as "partial 16S ribosomal RNA". It matches the Rfam family "Bacterial small subunit ribosomal RNA", at positions 30 to 523 of the family's 1533-position model. The record is from RNAcentral.